CUGGUUCAACUCUACAUUUUGCAUCAAAAAUACAUUUAAUAAAAGUAAAGGAUUUUAAUGUUUGAUUGUUUUCUCUGUGUGCUUCGGUUCCAAGCUCCUCUCCUCGGUUCGCUUGCCGCUUCUGACAUGUAUGGCUAUCUGAUAGAACACCUGAGACGUUACGCCGCGGAAGGACAGCAGGGACAGAGACGUGACGCUGCAGUGGAUUGACAACCUGUCCAGGGUGUACAACGCCUCUCGCCCGAUGACAGCUGGAGAUCGGCACCAUCACCCCUCCCGAUGCCAAUGGGAUAAGGGUGUAAGGAAAUGGAUGGAUGGAUGUUUUCUCCAAAUAGUGCGGCACUUUGUUUUUCACGGAGCGUUGUUUCAUGCUGGCAGCUCUUCCAUGAGUCAAAAGGACUGGACGAAAGUGCUGACUUUAAUGGAGACGCUGGUCAUGCUGCCUGAGGCCAGAGUGUCGCUAAUGGCUGGUAGGAGAGCAAAAGAUGGACAAAGUCCUUUUCUUCCCUCCUCCCUUUUCUCUGCUGUGGCUUUAAUUCUCCAAAUCAAUACAAAUCUCUUUAGAAUGGC
Molecule: long non-coding RNA, 570 nt
Organism: Xiphophorus couchianus (Monterrey platyfish)
Lineage: Eukaryota; Metazoa; Chordata; Actinopteri; Cyprinodontiformes; Poeciliidae
Exons: 3
Source: RefSeq, a predicted model, not a curated record